RNAcentral lists this ribosomal RNA (321 nucleotides) under uncultured eukaryote. RNAcentral's name for it is "partial 18S ribosomal RNA". It matches the Rfam family "Eukaryotic small subunit ribosomal RNA", at positions 1470 to 1796 of the family's 1831-position model. The record is from RNAcentral.
CCCUUAGAUGUCCUGGGCCGCACGCGCGCUACACUGACAUGUUCAACAAGCCUCCUAGUUCGACAGGAUUUGGGAAAUCUUUGAACGCAUGUCGUGAUAGGGAUAGAUCAUUGCAAUUAUUGAUCUUGAACGAGGAAUUCCUAGUAAACGCGAGUCAUCAGCUCGCAUUGAUUACGUCCCUGCCCUUUGUACACACCGCCCGUCGCACCUACCGAUUGAAUGUUUCGGUGAAGAUUCCGGAUAGGACUUUUUUGAUUUAUUUCAAUUUUGUCUUAAAAGGUAUCUAAACCUCAACAUUUAGAGGAAGGUGAAGUCGUAACA